Molecule: long non-coding RNA, 445 nt
Organism: Suricata suricatta (meerkat)
Lineage: Eukaryota; Metazoa; Chordata; Mammalia; Carnivora; Herpestidae
Exons: 4
Source: RefSeq, a predicted model, not a curated record
UCCUCUGUGAUUCAUGGAAUGCCUGGAGUAAUUCAGAAAGUGAUGGCGGGGGAGGGGUCCCCACCCCGUCUCUGAAAUGCCUGCACCUUAGCGGACCUGGGCCAGGGAUCCAGAACUGGGUGGAGUCUGGUGCUGCCAGGCUGGAAACUGCCUAGAAGGACCCCCUGCCAGAGGGCGGCACCCCCCGUCAGAGCAGUGGACACGGCCUUGCGCACACGUGAGCUGAGGGCUUAGACAGCAAUUCUGCGAUCUGGGUUUUUAUUUAACUGGAAGACGAAUACACAGAUAACAGGUGAUGCUAGAGACAGUCACCUCUCCCAACCUUGAUGUGAUGUCGGUAUAGCAGGGGACAGCCUUGGGGUCUUCUCAGGGUCGCUGGGAGGACGAAGGAAUGUUCUGUGUCACCAGUCAGAGCCUUGAUGAAAAGCAGUCACUAUCAGUGACA